Molecule: ribosomal RNA, 253 nt
Filed under: uncultured bacterium
Lineage: Bacteria
Description: partial 16S ribosomal RNA
Rfam family: Bacterial small subunit ribosomal RNA
Source: RNAcentral
UACGUAGGGGGCGAGCGUUGUCCGGAAUCAUUGGGCGUAAAGCGCGUGUAGGCGGUCCGAUAAGUUCGCUGUGAAAGUCGGGGGCUUAACCCUCGGAUGCCGGUGAAUACUGUCGGGCUUGAGUACGGAAGAGGCGAGUGGAAUUCCUGGUGUAGCGGUGAAAUGCGCAGAUAUCAGGAGGAACACCAAUUGCGAAGGCAGCUCGCUGGGACGUUACUGACGCUGAGACGCGAAAGCGUGGGGAGCGAACAGG